This 706-nucleotide ribosomal RNA is filed under the name uncultured Verrucomicrobiota bacterium. RNAcentral's name for it is "bacterial SSU rRNA". It matches the Rfam family "Bacterial small subunit ribosomal RNA", at positions 777 to 1500 of the family's 1533-position model. Lineage: Bacteria; Pseudomonadati; Verrucomicrobiota. The record is from RNAcentral.
AUUAGAUACCCCGGUAGUCCUGGCAGUAAACGGUGCUCAUUAGAUGUAGGCGGAUUCGACCCCGCCUGUGUCGAACCUAACGGAUUAAAUGAGCCGCCUGGGAAGUACGGUCGCAAGAUUAAAACUCAAAGAAAUUGACGGGGGCCCGCACAAGCGGUGGAGUAUGUGGCUUAAUUCGAUGCAACGCGAAGAACCUUACCUGGCCUUGACAUGCUUAGUUCAGGCGUAGAAACACGCUGGCCCGCAAGGGCGAUUUGCACAGGUGCUGCACGGCUGUCGUCAGCUCGUGUCGUGAGAUGUUGGGUUAAGUCCCGCAACGAGCGCAACCCUCGUGGUUAGUUAUUCCUGGGAAACCAGAAUCUGACCAGACUGCCCUGUGAAACGGGGAGGAAGGUGGGGACGACGUCAAGUCCGUAUGGCCCUUACGGCCAGGGCUGCACACGUACUACAAUGCCCACUACAGAGGGACGCAAGACCGCAAGGUGGAGCCAAUCCCGAAAAGGUGGGCCCAGUUCGGAUUGGAGGCUGCAACUCGCCUCCAUGAAGUUGGAAUCGCUAGUAAUGGCGCAUCAGCUACGGCGCCGUGAAUACGUUCCCGGGCCUUGUACACACCGCCCGUCACAUCAUGAAAGCCGGUUACACCCAAAGUCGCCUUAUGGUGCCCAAGGUGUGGCUGGUGAUUGGGAUGAAGUCGUAACAAGGUAUC